Molecule: ribosomal RNA, 753 nt
Filed under: Triticum aestivum (bread wheat)
Lineage: Eukaryota; Viridiplantae; Streptophyta; Magnoliopsida; Poales; Poaceae
Description: partial small subunit ribosomal RNA
Source: RNAcentral
AUGAUGAAACCGAUGACGAAGCACAAGGGGAUGAAGAUGGUGGGCAAUCAGAAAUCAUGGUACCCCAGCCCCCGUAUCUUGGGCAGAGAUUUGAUUCGUUUGAAGAUGCAAAGGAAUUCUACCAGACAUGCAAAGUUCCAUGGGUUUGCGGUCAACACCGAAUACCAUAGGAAAAUAAAAAAAACUAACGAGUACAACAGAGGUGAGAUGAGGUGCUACAAGGCACGAAGAAACAAGAAGGGCAAAGGUGAUGCACCUGUCGUUCCGGAACAAAAGAGAGGUAUCAUUGUCAAGACGGAAUGCCCUCUCCGGUGUAAGCUGAACGUAGAUGGAGCACAGUGGGUGGUCACUGAAUAUUUUGACGAGCACAACCAUGAGCUAAUAAAGAAGUUUGACCUGGUAAAAUUUCUGACCGCCUACAGAGGAUUCACCCCUCUCGAGAAGAAAUUCAUAAAGCUGCUACAUGAUUGUAACACCGGUCCAUCAAGAAUGGUGCAGAUACUCUCCCUCAUCCACAACAAAAAGGGGUCUCUGAGUAGCAUGCCCUACAUACCAGCAGACGUCACAAACCUAAAGGCAAAGUACCGUAGAGAAAGCAAGUUGGCUGACAUAGAAGCCACGAUAGCCUACUUCGAUGAGAAAGCGAAAGAAGAUCAAGAUUUCUUCUACAGGAUAAGAUUGGAUGAUGAGGACCGUGUUAGGAACAUGUAUUGGGUGGAUGGUGCUGCAAGAAGAGCCUACAAACAUUUCUGA